This 71-nucleotide transfer RNA is filed under the name Paenibacillus sp. S150. Its description in RNAcentral is "tRNA-Gly". It matches the Rfam family "tRNA". From Rfam's summary of the family: Transfer RNA (tRNA) molecules are approximately 80 nucleotides in length. Their secondary structure includes four short double-helical elements and three loops (D, anti-codon, and T loops). The record is from RNAcentral. Lineage: Bacteria; Bacillati; Bacillota; Bacilli; Caryophanales; Paenibacillaceae.
GCGGGCAUGGUGUAAAGGUAGCGCAUCGGCCUUCCAAGCCGAUAGUGCGAGUUCGAUUCUCGCUGCUCGCU